This 398-nucleotide ribosomal RNA is filed under the name uncultured bacterium. Its description in RNAcentral is "bacterial SSU rRNA". It matches the Rfam family "Bacterial small subunit ribosomal RNA", at positions 355 to 772 of the family's 1533-position model. The record is from RNAcentral.
UGGGGAAUUUUGCACAAUGGGGGAAACCCUGAUGCAGCGACGCCGCGUGAUUUAGAAGGCCUUCGGGUUGUAAAAAUCUUUUUUAUGGGAUGAAAAUGACAGUACCAUAAGAAUAAGGUCCGGCUAAAUACGUGCCAGCAGCCGCGGUAAUACGUAUGGACCGAGCGUUGUCCGGAAUCAUUGGGCGUAAAGGGUACGUAGGCGGCCCAGUAAGUUAGAAGUGAAAUAAUAUAGCUCAACUAUAUAAAGCUUUUAAAACUGCUAGGCUUGAGAGAUGGAAGGGAAAGUGGAAUUCCUAGUGUAGCGGUGAAAUGCGCAGAUAUUAGGAAGAAUACCGGUGGCGAAGGCGACUUUCUGGUCAUCAUCUGACGCUGAGGUACGAAAGCGUGGGUAGCAAA